Vespula pensylvanica (western yellowjacket) is the source of this 847-nucleotide long non-coding RNA. RefSeq lists it as uncharacterized. The record is from RefSeq and is a predicted model, not a curated record. The transcript is spliced from 8 exons. NCBI's taxonomy places the organism in Eukaryota, Metazoa, Arthropoda, Insecta, Hymenoptera, Vespidae.
AAAUAUCGGGGAAACGAUACUUCCGGUUAAUUCAACGUUCCUCUUUAGCUUGUUCCAUUCUCAUCCAUUUCGCUUGUAGCUGGUCACCGAGUAGGAACUCUGAAGAAUUUUCUACGUUUCUACGUUCCAAGUUCGUAUCCAUUGCAACCGCAUAUAAGCUGAACGUUUCCUUCUUCGCACCUUAUAAUGGCGAUUAAUAAAGCUUCAGCUUCAUGGCUAGCAUCCAUGCUGGAUAGCGUUCACUGCAAAAAUUUGUUCUUAUCCACGUUAAAAUUGUAGUAAAUGUCGUCGAUAAUAAAUUUCUCGACAGAAAUGAGUCUCCUAAAGAUGGCAAGUUCGCAAACUGCGACUGCGUGGAAAACGUUAGCAAAUAACUUUGAAAAUGAUUGACCAGUUAAUUGCGUUACGUCGAAUCGAUUAUUACUAUGCGAAGGACGAUCCGCCAUCUACAACAAUCUGUAAGAACUAUAACGAUGUUUGUAUCGAAGAAAAACUUCCAAGUAUAAUAAACUAGAAAUGUUUACGCGCAGUACAAAUUGAAGUCGAAUCGCUGAUAACGUUCCUACAAAAUUUUUAAUUCGGUAACGAUUCAAAGAAAAACCAGACAAAAGUUUCAACGCAAAACCAUUUUCAACAAAAGAAUACAUAUCUUAAAGCAGUCGUCUGGACCUUACGAGGAACAGCCCAUGAUCUAGAAAAAGCUCUACGUGGAUUGUAUUCACAAAAAGUGUGUGAUAUCAAUCAACUUUGGAUGCAAAACUGAAGUAAUGAUUAUUAUAAAAAUAUAAUAUAUACUUUAUUGUAUGUGCAGAAAUUCUAAUAAAAAUAAAAUAUACAAAUCUAAAAA